RNA transcript from Drosophila miranda, 5276 nucleotides. It is a transcript of the gene named protein telomere ends associated, with no coding region annotated. The record is from RefSeq and is a predicted model, not a curated record. NCBI's taxonomy places the organism in Eukaryota, Metazoa, Arthropoda, Insecta, Diptera, Drosophilidae. The transcript is spliced from 13 exons.
AAUCUGAUAUCCUGUUUAAAUAAAGGGGGCAUCAGUGGGCUAAGUUCGCUCAAGCCAAAAAGCAAAACAGAUAAAAACAAAAAAGGCGCAAAAUCCAAAAAGGCGUACAAGAAACUGAAGUUUAUUAACAUAAUAAAAAUGUAUUCGCAUCGAAAAAAAGCACACCGUCCAGCAGUCUCUUUUCGGGAGUUUAGUAAGCUAAUUAAGAACCUGCCGGACAUUGCAUUCGACGUGCAAAGCGACCAAGCUGAGGAAGGAUCAAACAAAACGCUGGACGAGUGCGCCCAGUGGUACUACGAAGCCUUCUACAAGGAUCCCAGUGUACGAAAGCGGUACAAGUUCAAGGUGCGCGCUUGUGCCAAGCUAAAGAAGGAUAAGUUGCUCAGUCUGCCAGAGGCAGAAAUAGAUGAGACGCCCGAAGAGAGUGAGCAUGAAUCGGCUGAUGGUGUUGCAGUCAAAGUGGAAAAAAUGGGAAUGUUCAGGUUUCCCGUAACCUUCGAAGACUUUGCAAAGUACGCUGACAAGGAUAUGAUAUGCAAGCUUACGACUCAGAAGGAAACAAGCACAGAAGACAUACAGCCCGAUAGCAAACAGAAACGAAGUCAGUUGCAGAAAUUCUACAACUCAUUCUACAUGUUUCCAGAAGAGCGAAAGUCCACCAAUAUAUUCCCUGAGGCACCGCCUGCUCUUUUAGUGAAGUUGCUAAGACCUGGCUAUCCCGUAGAUGAAGCAACAGGCAGCAGUUUAGCAGAGCAUAAAAAAAAGGGUCCAACAGUCCAAGAGCACGAGAGGCAUCGGGAGCCUGAAGCUCCUGAAGGUCCUGAAGCAACCAGCGACUUUCCCAUUGUGAGCUUCCAAGUAUUCGAGAAACAUCUGGCGAACCUCUACGAUAUUGUGUGGCAGCUGAAGCUCAACGAUCCCGAGUAUGUGGUCAAGGACUUUGAGGAGGGGGCCUAUUGCUAUUACUUGGCAUUUUAUCUAACGCCGGAGAUUCGUGACAGAUACAAGUACAUCCUAAAGCCGUGUACGUCGGACCUGAGUGCCCGCCUACUUGCCAUACCCAGCCGCGAGGAAGCCGAAAAGCUCAGGCGAAAUUUGCCAGAGUUGAUUAAACCAUCGCCAGAUCUGGAGCGACCCAAAAGUCCCGAUUUGGUCACAGAACCAGCAGUGGCACCUGUCGACUUUAAGUUUUUCAAAAAGUAUAUCGUGAAUCUGGAUGACAUCAGUCAGCAAAUGCGAUGCUGCGACGAGUACAAGGACUUAUCCGAAGAGGAGUGUGGCGCGGAAUACUUCAGGCAGUUUUAUAGCUCGCCAGAAAUACGCGAACGAUUCCAGUAUAAACUGAAGCCUUGUCCCGGAAUGGUACGCGGAAGAUUGCUGGGUCGACCGGCCUGCUCAGACGGGCCAUCGAAUGGAGCUGAAAAGGCAGCCGAACAGAACCGACCAGCUCCAAUAAAGGAAAGCAGUCGUCAGUCAGACCCAAACGAUAACAACAACAAUAAAAAGUUUCCAGUUACGUUCAAGGAGUUCAAGCGUAAUGUGACGAAUCUCAGCGAAAUUGUACAGAAAAUGCAGCAUAGCGAGGAGUACAGAGAGAAGUCCGAAGAGCAGUGUGCUAAGGAGUACUACCAGGGGUUCUAUUCCAUGCCCCAGAUGCGUGAACGCUUCGAAUGUAAGUUCAAGCCCUGUCCCGCCAAGAAGUGCAAGCUGCUGCUCCGCUAUGCAGUGGAACAUCCUGAACCAUCCGAAGAGCAGUCUGAAAACAUUCCGCCUAAGAAGACAAUAAAGCCGUCUUCUUUGAGCUCCGCGCGUGAUGACGUAGUAACUAUUGGCUCUGCUCGCUUCAAGUUUCCCGUGUCCUUGGGGGUAUUCAGGCGCUCUAUAAACUACGACGAAAUCGUCCGGUCCCGGCUGGGAAAAUCUACCGUCAAGCCGCAGCUCCAGGCCCAGACUGCCAACCCGCAGAACCCACAAUACGAAAGGUAUUUCCGUCAGUUUUAUGUCGGGUUCUACGCAUUCCCCUAUUUUCGCAAGCAACACGCAUAUCGAUUCAACUGUGGGGGGGACGAAGAGCUGCUGAAAAAGCUGUGCGACUAUGCAGUACCAUUGAAUGAGAGUGCCAAGCAGAAAGUGGAAGACGUGCAAAAGCGCCGACGAUCGAUUGGUAGUCGUGGAAGACCAGAAGCUGAACCUACUUUGAAGCGCAAACCAGCUCUGUUAGAGCGCUGUGGCGUCUCACCACAGAUUUCCUUUAAAGUAUUUUCCAAACUGUUGUAUCUCGAAGAUGCAGUUAGCAAAAUGCAGCUGCAUCCACACUUCGCUGCAAUGACGGAAGCAGAGUGCCAACGGCUGUACUACGAGGCCUUCUAUAGCACGCCCAGCAUACGGGACAAGUAUCCUUGUAGAAUAAAGCCCUGCCCGGCCGGCAUGAGGGCCAACCUACUGCAUAUCCCCCCCAAGCCGGAUAACCUGUCUAAUCUCAGAUACCCGCAGAGAAACGUAUCUGGCCAGCGUCCGAGCACUCUAGAUUUUGACAGAUUGUAUGCGGAUAGGAAAGCAGAGCUUGAUGGCAAACAAAAGCUUAACGUGGUCAACUACGUGCCCCACAAUCUGAGCUCCUACAUAGCUCGUCGUGUUGCAUGUCCCGAGAGAAGAGCUGUCGUUGAGAAGUACAUAGUCGAAACGGUAAGGGAUUUGAAUGAGGCAGCGGCUAUCAGUGUCUCGGGGCUGGAUACAGCUAGGAGGGAAAUCGGUGAAGAAGAGAAGACAGAGGCUACACCAGUGGCUGCAACGAUAGGCGUAGGAACUACAGCAGCGACUGGCCGUGAACCUGCAGAAUGUCCAGCAGCCUCUAUUGAAGUUGAAGGGGAAGUUGAAUCUCCAAAAGAAAACAGAGUAAGGGGCGACACUGUGCCAGAGAGUACAACAGCAAGUGUUCCAGCCAGCAGCGCGAACAAUCAGUGCUCUACUACUCUACCAGAGGUUGAAAAAACGACGAAUCCAGGGACCACUACGUCUGUAACAACAUCUAAUGAAGUGCAGACAGCAGCAUCUGAGCAAACAGCAGCAGCAGCAUGCAGCUCCGCAGAAACAGUGCAUUCUGAGGCAUCUGCAGUCACUUUGAGCCACCUUAUUGAACAACUUGAACAAACAGUGGAAAUCUUUGCUGCGCCGAGCUACCAGGAGCACACUAUCAAGCAUUUAAUCUUCCAAAGCACCGGCCUAAGGAGAACGAUUUGGCGCAUACUCUUCCAGCUGAGCCAAGAGGAGUUCCGCACCUACACAAGCAUCCACAAUGGCGAGGCUCUCUAUGAAAACGAAGGCAUGCUGCAGCGAUGUCAUCAGCAGGUUGUGGACCAAGGCUAUUGGCCACUUAAUUUGUAUGUGAAGCUGCCCAUGUUGCGCCGACUAUUGCACAGCAAAGGAGUGGAAAUGCAGUCGCUGGAUCUGCUGCAGCUGUCGCCAAAGAUCUUGCAUUGGAGCGAUCUAAUGCUGCUCACCGAUUUCGAUGAAAUUGUUGAGCAGCAUUACGCGGAUCGCACCGGCAAGCAGAUCGACGAUGCGGAAUUGCUGUUCCAGGAACGUGAGCAGUUUUAUGCGAGCUGCUGGACGCAUGAUCAAUGGAUACGCCAAGUGCCGAAGAUCACGAAUGAAGCAUUAAAUGAGCCAAUCUUUGGUGAUGAUUCUGCUGUUGCAGGUGCAGUAUUAAAGCUACUCUAUCGAGUGGAGGAAAGCCAGGCCUCGGCGAUAACUAUUGAGUCAGACAACGCCACACCCACACAAUCUGAAGUAUACAUUUGCCCACCCACUGAGCUCAACGCUCAAUCUACCAACUUUGUGGAUAUGGACGAAGUGGUUCCGGCUUCACAAAUGCCAGACACAGAGAAUGAUCCGCUUAGGGAGAGCAUGCAGGUUCCGGUCAAGCAGGAGGCAAUUAAGUUCCUCGACAAGUUGCGCGGCAGCUGUAUCAACAGCCAAGACUUCCUGUGGGAGAGCAUUGAUUCAAACGAACAAAUUAUUAACUUGGAUGACAGUCAGGAGUCACUUUCGGGCCUAGCUUGCUUUGCCAUCCGCAAAGCGACAGAAAUUGCGCCAUCGAAUGCAAAUGCAUUUCCACAGUUUCCUGAAAGUGAAAACCCUAAUAUAUCCACGGAGUCAGAAAUUAUAGAGUCUCAGCCUGAGGCAGAGCCGCAGCUGAAUGUAAUGCAGAAGGAGGCGCUGGUGCCGCCUCUAAACGAGCCCAUAAAACGCAAAGAUAAAACGUCUGCCUCAAACGAAGUGGGCAAGAAGCCGCGUCUGAGAACGAGAACGAACGAGAAGGUGCCGCAGUUGCGACACGAGUUCCGCGCCCUUCCGCUCCAAGCCGUGGUAGGCUUGGGAUCCACAGACUCUGCUCCCGGGCUAGAGGACGAGCAACCAACCACUUCCUUGCAAGUCGCUUCUGCCAAGGAAAAGGAGCCUACAAUCACCGCUUCGCAGGAUUUUGCUUUAGACAACACCCUUCUAGCAUCCUCCCAGCUGGACGCCCUAUUGGAUGCUCCAAACGUUACGCUGCGCAAGAAACCGUAAUGCCAUUACAAGUUUUUUAUUUUAUGCAUCGGUUGGCUAAGGACGAGAGGCAGGAUGAAUAUAAGGCCAUCAAAGCACUUCACGCUCUGCCGGUUGAAAAGAAGCUGCAUUGCCAGGAGUUAAGAAAUCGUGUGCCGAAAUAUGACGGUUCUGGCGCGAUCAGGGGAACCCCCUAUUUAGAUCCUCUUCAAAGGAGCUUGCUCCAGAUGCGGAGGCGGAAAAGCUCCUCGGUUGCUUGGAAUGCUAAAUCAGUCAAUGAUCAAGAGAAGACCGAUCCCAUUCAUGAAAUAGUCUGGCAGCAGUGGGGGCUACAUGAUUGCCAAGGAAGCCAUACCACAAGAAAAAAUCAUUUUCAGGGAGCAGGCCACCAUUUUCCAUGGCAUGCUAGUGGCCCAGGACAUCAGUCAGGACAAAAAAAGAUUGUGAGGAUACUAGUUAAUGUUAGGUAUGCUUGUAAAUAUGUCGAUACUACUUGUACAAUUCUCGAUUUUAUUAUUUUUUUUAUUUUUUUAGUUAAUAUUUAAUUACCCAUGAAUCGCCAUUAUCCAACGAGUUCCGAUUUCAAAUCUAACAAUUGUAUUUUUUUUUAUAUUUCUAAAUUUAUUUAAGCCAAAUAUCAGUUUAACAACCUUCAUUUAAAUACAUUUUGUAGUCAAAAAAAGCCAAAAACAGGUACAAUUUUAAUUGUGAAAUUAAAACUAAUAGUC